UUUAGAUUAGGUUCUCCCUUAAACACUAUUUUGAGUCUUUAUUUUGAAAGAUUUAAUUCCAGAAAGACCCAAAAUAGUGUUUAGGGGAGCACCUAAUCUAAA
Non-coding RNA from Pelobates cultripes (western spadefoot toad), 102 nucleotides. Lineage: Eukaryota; Metazoa; Chordata; Amphibia; Anura; Pelobatidae. The record is from the annotation of a GenBank genome assembly.